GUCGAGGGGCAGCGAGAGUGAUAGCAAUAUUACUUGUCGGCGACCGGCGCACGGGUGCGUAACGCGUAUGCAACCUACCAUCAACAGGGGGAUAACACUGAGAAAUUGGUACUAAUACCCCAUAAUAUCUCAUGCGGCAUCGCAUGGGGUUGAAAACUCCGGUGGUUGAUGAUGGGCAUGCGUUGUAUUAGCUGGUUGGUGAGGUAACGGCUCACCAAGGCGACGAUACAUAGGGGGACUGAGAGGUUAACCCCCCACAUUGGUACUGAGACACAGACCAAACUCCUACGGGAGGCAGCAGUGAGGAAUAUUGGUCAAUGGACGCAAGUCUGAACCAGCCAUGCCGCGUGCAGGAUGACGGCUCUAUGAGUUGUAAACUGCUUUUGUACGAGGGUAAACCCCGAUACGUGUAUCGGGUUGAAAGUAUCGUACGAAUAAGGAUCGGCUAACUCCGUGCCAGCAGCCGCGGUAAUACGGAGGAUCCGAGCGUUAUCCGGAUUUAUUGGGUUUAAAGGGUGCGUAGGCGGUUUGAUAAGUUAGAGGUGAAAUGUCGGGGCUCAACCCCGAAACUGCCUCUAAUACUGUUGGACUAGAGAAUAGUUGCGGUAGGCGGAAUGUAUGGUGUAGCGGUGAAAUGCUUAGAGAUCAUACAGAACACCGAUUGCGAAGGCAGCUUACCAAACUAUAUCUGACGUUGAGGCACGAAAGCGUGGGUAGCAAACAGGAUUAGAUACCCUGGUAGUCCACGCAGUAAACGAUGAUAACUCGUUGUCGGCGAUACACAGUCGGUGACUAAGCGAAAGCGAUAAGUCAUCCACCUGGGGAGUACGUUCGCAAGAAUGAAACUCAAAGGAAU
RNAcentral lists this ribosomal RNA (856 nucleotides) under uncultured bacterium. RNAcentral's name for it is "bacterial SSU rRNA". It matches the Rfam family "Bacterial small subunit ribosomal RNA", at positions 61 to 910 of the family's 1533-position model. The record is from RNAcentral.